GUCGUCGCCAUCACGGCUGCGGGUAUGGGGCUUCGAAGAGAGAUAGAGGAGCUCGCUGAGGAGAGAGAAAGGCAAUGGCCAGAGAGAGGAGGGUCUCGCAAGGAGGGGGGAGCUGGUACGCCUCCAUCGUUGCUACAGGCUGCGCCACCGCGCCUCUGGUCACCGGAAACCGUGCUGAUGUCGUCGGAAGUCGCAGUUGGAAACUCUGCAAGUUUGCCCUAGCUCAGCUUUGCUUAUGCCUGUUCUGUCCUUGCCGGUGGGGGUCACCGGAGCUGCUGAUGCUCCAUCUCCUUAUUUUCUUUGGGCUAUUGUUGAGGUUGCUGCAGUGAGGAAUCGAAGUUGUUGCUACUACCUUGGUCCUUGGUCCAAAUUUUAUGCUCUUUCAUUUCAUUCUACUUCAAUCUUCCUCACCUUUUAUCUUGGCACUCUCGUUUGGUUUUUUCGGGCUCUUGGGACCAAUUUGAAUAAAUAUUUGAUUAUGUGAGCCUUUCUAUUCAAGAGUAAUGAUUUGCAAUGGGUAUCUAUUCGUUGUUGAGUUCUUAGACGUCAUCUGCUCCAUAUGUCACAGGCAGGAUCCACCCAUAUUUAUUUUAUUUUUGUUUGUUGAAAAUAUGUAAUUAUUCAUUUUAGACAUCACAAAUUUAUUUAAAAUAUUUGAAAUUUUCUUAUUCAACUUAUAUUUGAGUCAGUUAGGCUUGUUUGGGGAUUAUUUUCCUGAGCACCGAUCAUGGCUCAUUUUGGACCGUGACACAAAGUUUCAUUUCUAAAUGAUUGAGUGAUUUGUAUUUUUUUUUUUACGUUAAAAAUGAUGGUCAUAUUGAAUGUAACUAACAAGUAAGUACUCAUUUUGUUUUAUUUUAUUUCUUCAAGAUCCAAUAGUUUUUCAAUGUAAAUAUAUGAGGUGGAAGGUCCUAUUAACAUUUUUUUAAAGAAAAUAAAAGCGAGGUCCACCAUUUGAUUAGUUAAAUGGGGGUCGGUUUGUCGGGUUCUUUUUCUAAUUGCUAUAUUCUAUACUGGCUGCUGGGAGUGGGACAAUUUUUUUUAUAAAAAUUAUAUUUACUUUCUUGUUUAGAAUAACUAUACUCAGCCAUUUGAGGUUUCACAGCCGUUGUCAUUUGACAAUUAACAUUCACAAACCAUGUAAAGUUUUGCAGAUUUUAUCAAUUUUUGAGGGCGAAAAUUUUUAUAAAGAGGAUAGAAUGUAAAAUCCUAUGGAGCAAGUGUCCUAUGGUAGGAUCACAAUUGUAUAAAUAGAAGCGCACCUAUUUGUACAAAUUGUGGCACUAUCAGAGACCUAUAGGAAUGUCAUCCUUAUCUUUUUGUCAUUCUUAUCUUUUGGUUCUUGUCAUCAUGAGUCAUCUGUCGAUUCUUGACACUUCUUUC
Molecule: long non-coding RNA, 1383 nt
Organism: Arachis duranensis
Lineage: Eukaryota; Viridiplantae; Streptophyta; Magnoliopsida; Fabales; Fabaceae
Exons: 2
Source: RefSeq, a predicted model, not a curated record